RNAcentral lists this ribosomal RNA (467 nucleotides) under uncultured bacterium. RNAcentral's name for it is "partial 16S ribosomal RNA". It matches the Rfam family "Bacterial small subunit ribosomal RNA", at positions 29 to 507 of the family's 1533-position model. The record is from RNAcentral.
ACGAACGCUGGCGGCGUGCUUAACCCAUGCAAGUCGAACGGAAAGGCCCUGCUUUUGUGGGGUGCUCGAGUGGCGAACGGGUGAGUAACACGUGAGUAACCUGCCCUUGACUUUGGGAUAACUUCAGGAAACUGGGGCUAAUACCGGAUAGGAGCUCCUGCUGCAUGGUGGGGGUUGGAAAGUUUCGGCGGUUGGGGAUGGACUCGCGGCUUAUCAGCCUGUUGGUGGGGUAGUGGCUUACCAAGGCUUUGACGGGUAGCCGGCCUGAGAGGGUGACCGGCCACAUUGGGACUGAGAUACGGCCCAGACUCCUACGGGAGGCAGCAGUGGGGAAUAUUGCACAAUGGGCGGAAGCCUGAUGCAGCAACGCCGCGUGCGGGAUGACGGCCUUCGGGUUGUAAACCGCUUUCGCCUGUGACGAAGCGUGAGUGACGGUAAUGGGUAAAGAAGCACCGGCUAACUACGUG